AAUGAACGUUGGCGGCGUGGAUUAGGCAUGCGAGUCGUGCGAGAACCGUAGCAAUACGGGGACAGCGGCGAAAGGGAGAGGAACACGUGGGUACCUACCCUCAGACUCAGGAUAGUCAUGGGAAACUAUGAGUAAUACUGAAUAAUGUCUUCGGACCAAAGGUGUGAUUCCGUCCGAGGAGGGGCCCGCGUCCUAUUAGCUAGUUGGUGAGGUAACGGCCCACCAAGGCGAAGAUGGGUACGGGAUGUGAGAGCAUGAUCCCGCUCAUUGGGACUGAGACACUGCCCAGACACCUACGGGUGGCAG
Molecule: ribosomal RNA, 306 nt
Filed under: uncultured Planctomycetota bacterium
Lineage: Bacteria; Pseudomonadati; Planctomycetota
Description: bacterial SSU rRNA
Rfam family: Bacterial small subunit ribosomal RNA
Source: RNAcentral